Vicugna pacos (alpaca) is the source of this 3664-nucleotide non-coding RNA. NCBI's taxonomy places the organism in Eukaryota, Metazoa, Chordata, Mammalia, Artiodactyla, Camelidae. The record is from RefSeq and is a predicted model, not a curated record.
GGCAGUUUGCCUGUGUGAGACUGAAAGUAGAGAAACCAUUAUUUCUGUCUUUUUGCUACUUGAAAUUAAGUGUGGCUUUUUUUUUUGGCAAUGUUUUUUCCUUUUAUUCCUUUUAGAAAGUGCCUUGAUUGGCUUAAUAACUAACCCUUCUAACACCACACCUCUGGCUAAGUUAUUAAAAAUGAGCAUGGCAUUCGACAUAAGUUAGUUAUAAAAGAUAACUAUUGUCUUUUAGUAAAAUGUCUAAAAAUAAAUUUCAAAAUAAUCAUUAUCAUCAAGGCCUUGAAGUAAAUAUUAAAUAAAUGCUUUAACUUCUAUAAACACUAAACUCAAGUUUACUUUUUUCCUGCCUCAAAGAUUAUACCUUUGGGAGGUUUCUGCUUCUGGCCAUGACGGAAUAGUAAGGAAAACUAGAAAACUGGGCAAAAUAUAAUACAGUAGUUUUAAAACAUUGAUUAUAAGGCAAAAUAGGACUCUCAACUCUGAGAGAAAGAAAACAAAGUGAGAAUUAGCACUGCACCAAGUUACUGUCUCCAGGCAGUUUCCAGCCACUGUGCCAGGAAGGCAAACCCAGACAGAGCCUGACCUCCCCAAAUUGAAAAGAUGGAGAUCAGAAGUCAGGGAGGCCAAGAGAGCUAGAAUUUUAAGGCAGAUUACCAAACAGGAAGAGCUGCUCUGAGAGACGGCUCUGGAAUCUGGCAGCCUCUAAUCUGUACAUUUCUAAGAGGAAACUAUACCAGACUUGGGAAAGAACCACUGGAAAGGGAGAAGAAGAAAAGUUCUGGAGCUCACAGAAGGAAAAGGCUUUGUGUUCUCACCAGCAAAAGUAGAGACUCCUCCAUAAAACAUAGAACAUCAGGUAGAAUCCUCAGAAAAAUAUAUUAUGAAUAGUGCAAAAAAAGUACUGUGAUAAUGGCUGCUCUGCCCUUAAAAAAUCUUAAAAGCAGACCUCACAGAGAUCCAACUGAUUCAAAGUAACUUAGCUGCUUGUCAGAACACAAUUUGAUACUACUUAAGACAAUAUAACAAAAUCCCACAACACACAACGUAAAAAUCACAAUAAAAAUUCUAAUAAAAAUCACCAAUCAAAAUAAGGAGAAAAUAUAAACUGUCACAAAGUAAAACCUCAUGUAAUAGAAACAGACCCAGAAAUGACAAAUGAAACUAGCAGCAAAGCCAUGGAGAAAACUAUUGAAAAUAAUCUAUAAAGUAAAUAAUUGACCUUAUUCAUAUUUAUUAAACACUCCACUCAACAACAGAAUACACAUUCUUCUUCAGUACAAAAUAAAUUUUACCAAGAUUAACCAUAAUCUGGGCCUUAAAACAAGUCUCAGUAAACUUAAGAGGACUGAAAUCAUACACAUUAUAUUCUCUGGCCAUGACAGAUUCCAGCUGGAAAUCAAUAACUGGAAGAUGUGUGGAAAUUCCUCAUAUAGUUGAAUAAUAAAUAAUACAUUUACAAACCAACCACAAGUCAAAGAAGAAAUCACAAGGAUAAUUAGGAAAUAUUUUGAACUAAAUGAAAACAAAAACACAAGAUAGAAAAAAAUUUACAGUGUAUUAAAAAUAGUGCUUAAAGGGAAAUAUAUACUAUUAAAUACUUACAUUAGAAAAAAUGAGAGGGGGGUAUAGCUCAGUGGUAGAGCAUAUGUUUGGCAUGUACAAGGUCCUGAGUUCAAUCCCCAGUGCCUCCACUAAGGGGGGGAAAAAAGAAUAAAAAAUGAUAGAUCUCAGUUACCUAAUCUUCCACCUUAUUGAGCUAGAAAAAGAAGAGCAAAUUAAACUCCAAAGAUGCAGAAGAUAAAAACUAAUAAAAAACAGAAAGCAACUAAAUAGAAAAUAGGAAAACAAUAGGGAAAAACAAUGAAACCACAAUAUGGUUCUUUAAAAAGAUUUUUAAAAAAUUGGAAACCACCAAACAGACUGAUCAGAAAAGGAAAAAACAUGUCACCAGUAACAGGAGUUAAAGAAGGGAUAUCCUUACAGAUUGUACAGAUAUUAAUGCGAUAACAAGGGAAUGCUAUAAACAGAUUUUGAUGUCAAUAAAUUAAACUACAUAGAUGAAAUGUACAUGUUGAAAGAUAUAUACUAGCAAAACCACUGAAAAAGAUAAUGUGACUACCCCAUUUCAGUAAUCAGACUCUUAGUUUAAAAAAUCUUGUCCCGAAGAGAAAUCCAAGCCUAGAUGUAUUCACUGUUGAUUUCGACCAACUAUUUAAAAAAGAAAUAAGGAAAAUUCUAAAAACAAAUUAGCAAAAAUAAAAAGGAAGGACCCACUUCCCAAUUCAUUUUAUGAAAACAGCAUUGCCAAAAUAUCAAAUCACAUAAUACACUAUGAGGCAAAAAAAAACAGACUAAUAUCUUUGUGAACAGAGACACAUCCUUUUAAAAAUUAAGCAAUCUGAAUCCCACAUCAUAUAAAAGGGACAAUCUUAUGACCAAAUGAGGUUCAUUACCAAAAUGUAAGUUAGGGAUAACACUUAAAAAUAAUGUACUAUAUUGAUUAAAAAGAAAAAUCACAAUUAUUUAAAUUAGAUUCAGAAAAACAUUUGGCAAAAUUCAACGCUCAUUAAAAAAAAAAACUCACAAACUAGAAUAAAAAGAAACUUAAUCUAACAAAGGGUAUCUACAAAAACAAAAAACAAAAAACAGCAAAAAAAACUAUACUUAAUAUGAUAUGUGAAAGAUUCAAUGUCCCAGCCAGUGCAAUAAGAACAAAAAUUAAAAACAUAGAUUGGGGGGGAAAGUGAAAUAGUCUAACUGUAAUUGUUUAUGUACAAAACCACUAUUAGAACUAGUAAAUGAAUUUAGCAACACCACAGGAUACAAAGUCAGCAUAUAAAAAUCCAUUAUUUUUCUAUAUACCACCAACAGUAUCGGAAAAUAAAGUUUUAAAAAUUUAAAAAAUAGGGAAAUACUCUUUUCUACAAAUGGUGCUGGAAAAUUAAAUAUGCAUAUACAUAAAAAUUAACCUCACACCACAACCACACCAUACACAAAAUUAAUUCAAGAUAGAUCAUAUCCAUAAGUCUAAAAGUUAGAACUAUAAAUAUUUCAUAAGAAAGUAAGAAAAAAUCUUUGUGACCUUGGAUUAGGUAAAGAUACCUUAGAUAAGACAUUAUUUUAGAAAAUCUGCUUAAAGAAGAAGAAAACUGUCAAACUGGAAUUCUAUAUCAAAAAAAUAUUUAUCUACUCCAUAAAUGAAGUCAAAAUAAAGACAUAUUGAGACACCCAAAACUGAAGAAAUUAUUCUCUUGCAGAAUCUCCCUACUGGAUAUGCCGAAAGACAGAUUGGCUGAAGAGAAAUGGCACUAAAUGGAAAGCUCAGAUCUCUAGAAAGAAAUGAAGACAGGACGAGAAAAGAAAAAUGUGAAGUGACAACUGCAACAUUUCCUGGUAUGCUGUUGUGUGUCAAGCCAGGACCAGGUGGCACACAGACGAACAGGGAGCUAAAUGAUUUGCACAAGACCACACAACUUACCACACGGUAGGAUGGCGCCGUUGGGAGCCUUACCCCUUUAGGCAAUGCCAGCAUACCUUGGCAGAAGGACAUGUGUUUGGAAACACCUGCUAGAAGAUUCUAAAGAUUGUUUUGAUUCUUGGAAGAUGAAAGGUCAGAAAUAAGUUGUGGAAAAAUUCAUGAAAAUUAAUCAUUUUCAUCCUC